GACGGGGCCGCACAAGCGGUGGAGCAUGUGUUAAUUCGAAGCAACGCGAAGAACCUUACCAGGUCUUGACAUCCCGAUGCUAUUUCUAGAGAUAGAAAGUUACUUCGGUACAUCGGUGACAGGUGGUGCAUGGUUGUCGUCAGCUCGUGUCGUGAGAUGUUGGGUUAAGUCCCGCAACGAGCGCAACCCCUAUUGUUAGUUGCCAUCAUUCAGUUGGGCACUCUAGCGAGACUGCCGGUAAUAAACCGGAGGAAGGUGGGGAUGACGUCAAAUCAUCAUGCCCCUUAUGACCUGGGCUACACACGUGCUACAAUGGUUGGUACAACGAGUUGCGAGUCGGUGACGGCGAGCUAAUCUCUUAAAGCCAAUCUCAGUUCGGAUUGUAGGCUGCAACUCGCCUACAUGAAGUCGGAAUCGCUAGUAAUCGCGGAUCAGCACGCCGCGGUGAAUACGUUCCCGGGCCUU
This 465-nucleotide ribosomal RNA is filed under the name uncultured Streptococcus sp. RNAcentral describes it as "bacterial SSU rRNA". It matches the Rfam family "Bacterial small subunit ribosomal RNA", at positions 917 to 1381 of the family's 1533-position model. Lineage: Bacteria; Bacillati; Bacillota; Bacilli; Lactobacillales; Streptococcaceae. The record is from RNAcentral.